CCCUGAGGACUGAAGCAUGAAACACAGGCUUUUCCAUACUUUUAGCAACUCCUUGAUCUGUUAUGUUAUAGAUAGAACCACAUCUAGUUUUACUAACCAACAUUCAGAUGAUUUACAAAAGAAGAGGAGGAUCACCAAUGAGGAAGGCACCCCGAGAUUUAUGAAGAAGAGGUAUCCUGAUAAGAAACUGGAAUUUCAUAUGGAAUGAAGUCUCAUAGUCACAGACCAAAUAUUUUCUGGUCAUAUAUUUUGGCCAUUACCAAAUUACCACCAAAUGAUUGACUCAAAUUGAUCCAAGCAAAUGUCGGAAGCUGCUUUCAGUUAGUUAAAACAAUGAUCAAUUUGCAAACGAUCGAGUAUUUGAUAUGAGUAUUAUUACAAAUAGACACACUACAUCUGCAUAAAAAAUACUUUGAUUUGAUUAACUUACCUAGACAACUAAAUGUUUAAAGUCAUUUAAAGAUUUUCUUUCUGGUAGUUUUUGCAUGUUUUUGCAAAAAAAAAAAAAAAAAAGAGUUAAGUUCUUUUACUUUUUAUGAAUUAGUAUAAUAUUUUAUACCCCUGACUUUUAAGCUGAAAUAUUAAACCAUCACUUUGGUUGUUGGAAAUCUGACGGCAAAUAUACGCGCAUGGUCGUACACAUCACAUACACAGGCGGCUUUAGAAUACCAUCCCACUUAAAUCAAUAGUGUAAAAUGUAUUGACCUAAUUCUAUCUGGAGGAGAAGGGAAAAUGAGCAGUGGUGCUUUCUUGUGACUUACGAUUUUUCAUACGGAGUUUCAGACUUGUUUCUGAUUAUAAAGAAAUCUAUCCACUUCAUGUCAAACUGAUAAACAAACAGGACAGGGAAUCACCAAGGGGAAGACCUAGUUUUCAAAGAGCCCAUAACUAAAAACAUCAGAAGAUAUUUUGUGUUUAAAGAAUUCAGGAACAUUAAAUUACUUUAAAAUCAUACAUUUUUUUCCUAAUUAUCACAGUGUCAAAUUACUUAUAUGGGCAAAAACUGUUUCUGCAUACAUGUUGCGUGUACAGGAACACACACAUAUGUACACAUUCCUCAACGUGUCACAAGCCUCUUAAGCAAAGUGAC
Long non-coding RNA from Macaca mulatta (Rhesus monkey), 1090 nucleotides. The record is from Ensembl. NCBI's taxonomy places the organism in Eukaryota, Metazoa, Chordata, Mammalia, Primates, Cercopithecidae.